RNAcentral lists this ribosomal RNA (462 nucleotides) under Clostridioides difficile. Its description in RNAcentral is "bacterial SSU rRNA". It matches the Rfam family "Bacterial small subunit ribosomal RNA", at positions 1077 to 1533 of the family's 1533-position model. Lineage: Bacteria; Bacillati; Bacillota; Clostridia; Peptostreptococcales; Peptostreptococcaceae. The record is from RNAcentral.
GGGUUAAGUCCCGCAACGAGCGCAACCCUUGUCUUUAGUUGCCAUCAUUAAGUUGGGCACUCUAGAGAGACUGCCAGGGAUAACCUGGAGGAAGGUGGGGAUGACGUCAAAUCAUCAUGCCCCUUAUGCUUAGGGCUACACACGUGCUACAAUGGGUAGUACAGAGGGUUGCCAAGCCGUAAGGUGGAGCUAAUCCCUUAAAGCUACUCUCAGUUCGGAUUGUAGGCUGAAACUCGCCUACAUGAAGCUGGAGUUACUAGUAAUCGCAGAUCAGAAUGCUGCGGUGAAUGCGUUCCCGGGUCUUGUACACACCGCCCGUCACACCACGGGAGUUGGAGACGCCCGAAGCCGAUUAUCUAACCUUUUGGAAGAAGUCGUCGAAGGUGGAAUCAAUAACUGGGGUGAAGUCGUAACAAGGUAGCCGUAUCGGAAGGUGCGGCUGGAUCACCUCCUUUCUAAGGA